AGGUCGCUUUGGCCAUGCAAGUUCAUCCAGUCACAGGUUCUGGGGAUUAAGAUGUGGAAAUUUGGGGAGGGGGGAUUAUUCUGCCUACAACAAGAUCUAAAAUAGAAGUAUAUUUUUUAAUUAAAAAUGUGUAUAUUGACAGAAUCUAAUAUUUUCAUUCACUUGUAUAAUGAAUUACUAAAUUGGGUGAACCAAGUGCAAAAGCCCAUCUGAGCUUGGAGAACUCUUCAUUAUCCAGUCGUGUUCAGAGAAAAUCUUCUGGGAUGCCAUGUAGACGCUCCAUCUCCUCUGCCACCGAGGCCAAGUCUUCAUCUCUGGCCCCUUGAUACUGCCCGUCUCCCUCCUGUCCAGGUCCAGGCUCUGCACCGCCGCCUGCCCUACUGGAAGGUGGAGCCGGGGCUGCGUUGUGGCACAACCAGCAAAGAGAGGGGGCAGAAAGCAGGAGCAGGCGGCCGGUGCCUUGAGAGGCUGCUGAGGACGCCCUGUUACAGGGGUUCCUUUGGCAAGAACAGCAUUUUCUUCCGUGGUGGUCCUUAUUCCUUGCCUUCCCAAGCUGCUGGAUUUUUCCCACCUGAAUAUUGUGUUUAAGAAAAGUUCCCCUGGAGAGGCUCUCUGAUGAAUGACCCUGCCAGCAGGUGACAUGGAGGCAGACUGACGGGUUUGAGUUUUGGCUCUCAUUUUCUGGGCCGUCCUUUCUGGGCCUCAGUCUUCUUCUAAAAUGAAACUCAUCAUCCAUGCCUGAGGGGGCGUUGAAGCGUGAAAUGCAAGGAUGGUGGAACAUGCCCAGCACAGCACCUGGCGCUUAGUAGGCUCUUUGUCUCACUGCUUCUCCCUUUGGAGCAGGGGCUCCGUUCCACUCACCUCUACACCUUCUCAGCCAUCACAGUGCCUGGCGUGUGGACGGUCUUCGUACGUGUUUUGAACAAAUGAACAAACCAGCUCACAGAGCUACUCACCUUGAUUUUAAUUGACUGAUCGCCUAAUGAAAUACCAAGUUUUGUGGGGGAUUCAGAAGAUUAUAUCAUGACAUCCCACAACUAGAAGGACCUGCAACUAAGAUAUACAACUAUGUACCGGGGAGGUUUGGGAAAUAAAGCAGAAAAAAAAAAUCAAACAGAAGAUUAUAUCAUGAAACUCCUCCCACAGGUUCUAACAAUCUGAUUGGAGGAGACAAGAUUAAUCAACACACAUUUAAGAGUGAACACAGAAGCUAACAAAUGAAAAUGAUUAAACAUGUAUGGCACAGACUGUUCAUAAUUAAGUUCACAGUUCCUCCAACAGAGCUCAGUUCUCAAAUUCUGACACUCACAGUGUUAAUUUACAUCUGUGUUGUUUGUUGACAGUUGGCUGUUCGUCAGAUCCUGGGCGUUCCGAUGGGAAGGAGAGCACUCACCUUGCAGCAGGGACCUUGUGUCUAGACGGCAGGGCUGGGUGGGAAUCUAGCAGGCAUCAGAAGAGCGCAGGGCCCAGGGGAUGGGGUGGAGGUGCCUGGAGACAGGAAAAAAAGGAGUCAAGGAGGGGAAGCGAGAGCAGACUGAAACAACAUUCAGCCACUGCACCAUUUGGCUGUUGAUUUUUUCCUCCCUCCGAGUGUGAAUAAAGUCACAGGACCUAAAUCCGGGAGCCACCUUAAAAGCGUCUGGCCGGGAGGCUUUAUGUAAUAGCUCACGAGGCAUUCAAAUCACUGCUCACACACUUUUAGGGACAGGGCAGAAAGCCCUUCGCUACCUCGGCAGAGAGCCCGCGUCUUCAUUAGACUGUUCU
Long non-coding RNA from Equus asinus (donkey), 1764 nucleotides. Lineage: Eukaryota; Metazoa; Chordata; Mammalia; Perissodactyla; Equidae. The record is from Ensembl.